UACGAAGGGGGCUAGCGUUGUUCGGAAUUACUGGGCGUAAAGCGCACGUAGGCGGAUCCUUAAGUCGGAGGUGAAAUCCCGGAGCUCAACUCCGGAACUGCCUUCGAUACUGGGGAUCUUGAGGUCGAGAGAGGUGAGUGGAAUUCCGAGUGUAGAGGUGAAAUUCGUAGAUAUUCGGAGGAACACCAGUGGCGAAGGCGGCUCACUGGCUCGAUACUGACGCUGAGGUGCGAAAGCGUGGGGAGCAAACAGG
Molecule: ribosomal RNA, 253 nt
Filed under: uncultured bacterium
Lineage: Bacteria
Description: partial 16S ribosomal RNA
Rfam family: Bacterial small subunit ribosomal RNA
Source: RNAcentral